AUCUGGACUUCUACGGCAAUCGAUCUCCAUCCGAGCUUCUACGAUAAGCGGUCUCCAUCCGAACUUCUACGGUAACCGAUCUUCAUCCGAGCUUCUAUGAUAAGCGGUCUCCAUCUGGACUUCUACGGCAACCAAUUUCCAUCCGAGCUUCUACGAUAAGCGGUCUCCAUCCGAACUUCUAUGGCAAUCGAUCUCCAUCUGAGCUUCUACGAUAAGCGAUCUCCAUCCGAACUUCUACGGCAACCGGUCUUCAUCCGAGCUUCUAUGAUAAGCGGUCUCCAUCUAGACUUCUACG
This 295-nucleotide long non-coding RNA is filed under the name Elaeis guineensis (African oil palm). Its description in RNAcentral is "long non-coding RNA (EGUI_LNC055669)". The record is from RNAcentral. Lineage: Eukaryota; Viridiplantae; Streptophyta; Magnoliopsida; Arecales; Arecaceae.